GCUGGGCGCGGUGGCGCGUGCCUGUAGUCCCAGCUACUCGGGAGGCUGAGGUGGGAGGAUCGCUUGAGCCCAGGAGUUCUGGGCUGUAGUGCGCUAUGCCAAUGGGGUGUCCCGCACUAAGUUCGGCAUCAGUAUGGUGACUUCCCGGGAGCGGGGGACCACCAGGUUGCCUAAGGAGGGGUGAACCGGCCCAGGUUGGAAAUGGAGCAGGUCAAAAUGGAGCAGUUCCCUUGUUGAUCAGCAGUGGGAUUGCGCCUGUGAAUAGCCACUGCACUCCAGCCUGGGCAACAUAGCGAGACCCCGUCUCU
Molecule: signal recognition particle RNA, 308 nt
Filed under: Cebus imitator (Panamanian white-faced capuchin)
Lineage: Eukaryota; Metazoa; Chordata; Mammalia; Primates; Cebidae
Description: Metazoan signal recognition particle RNA (ENSCCAG00000004339.1)
Rfam family: Metazoan signal recognition particle RNA
About the family: The signal recognition particle (SRP) is a universally conserved ribonucleoprotein. It is involved in the co-translational targeting of proteins to membranes. The eukaryotic SRP consists of a 300-nucleotide 7S RNA and six proteins: SRPs 72, 68, 54, 19, 14, and 9.
Source: RNAcentral